CUGCUGCCUCCCGUAGGAGUCUGGGCCGUGUCUCAGUCCCAAUGUGGCCGUCCACCCUCUCAGGCCGGCUACUGAUCGUCGCCUUGGUAGGCCGUUACCCUGCCAACCAGCUAAUCAGACGCGGGCCCAUCUCGCACCACCUGGGUUUUCAGGGCAGGGGCAUGCGCCCCCGCCCGCUAUGCGGUGUUAGCACCUAUUUCUAAGUGUUAUCCCCCAGUGCGAGGCAGGUUGCCCACGCGUUACUCACCCGUCGCCACG
This 258-nucleotide ribosomal RNA is filed under the name uncultured bacterium. RNAcentral's name for it is "partial 16S ribosomal RNA". The record is from RNAcentral.